UAGAGUUUGAUCCUGGCUCAGGAUGAACGCUAGCGACAGGCUUAACACAUGCAAGUCGAGGGGCAGCGGUGGUGAAGGCUUGCCUUCACCAGCCGGCGACCGGCGCACGGGUGAGUAACACGUAUGCAACCUGCCUGCCACAGCCGGAUAAUCGGGAGAAAUUCCGUCUAAUACGGCAUAAUGCAUCGACGGGACAUCCUGUUGGUGCCAAAGGUUAAUUCCGGUGGCGGAUGGGCAUGCGUCGCAUUAGUUAGUUGGCGGUGUAACGGACCACCAAGACGACGAUGCGUAGGGGUUCUGAGAGGAAGGUCCCCCACACUGGUACUGAGACACGGACCAGACUCCUACGGGAGGCAGCAGUGAGGAAUAUUGGUCAAUGGGCGGGAGCCUGAACCAGCCAAGUCGCGUGAGGGAUGACGGCCCUAUGGGUUGUAAACCUCUUUUGCCGGGGAGCAAAGUGCCGCACGUGUGCGGUUUGGAGAGUACCCGGAGAAAAAGCAUCGGCUAACUCCGUGCCAGCAGCCGCGGUAAUACGGAGGAUGCGAGCGUUAUCCGGAUUUAUUGGGUUUAAAGGGUGCGUAGGCGGACGCUUAAGUCAGCGGUAAAAUUGCGGGGCUCAACCUCGUCGAGCCGUUGAAACUGGGUGCCUUGAGUGGGCGAGAAGUACGCGGAAUGCGUGGUGUAGCGGUGAAAUGCAUAGAUAUCACGCAGAACUCCGAUUGCGAAGGCAGCGUACCGGCGCCCAACUGACGCUGAAGCACGAAGGCGUGGGUAUCGAACAGGAUUAGAUACCCUGGUAGUCCACGCAGUAAACGAUGAAUGCUAGUUGUCCGGGGCGAUUGAGUUCUGGGUGACACAGCGAAAGCGUUAAGC
Molecule: ribosomal RNA, 873 nt
Filed under: uncultured bacterium
Lineage: Bacteria
Description: bacterial SSU rRNA
Rfam family: Bacterial small subunit ribosomal RNA
Source: RNAcentral